ACACGUAGGGGGCAAGCGUUGUUCGGAAUUACUGGGCGUAAAGGGCAUGUAGGCGGUUUUGUAAGCCUGACGUGAAAGGCUAUGGCUUAACCAUGGCACUGCGUUGGGAACUGCGAGACUUGAAUCACGGAGGGGGAGCUGGAAUUCCAGGUGUAGGGGUGAAAUCUGUAGAUAUCUGGAAGAACACCAGUGGCGAAGGCGGCUUCCUGGUCUGUAACUGACACUGAGGCGCG
This 233-nucleotide ribosomal RNA is filed under the name uncultured bacterium. Its description in RNAcentral is "partial 16S ribosomal RNA". It matches the Rfam family "Bacterial small subunit ribosomal RNA", at positions 523 to 755 of the family's 1533-position model. The record is from RNAcentral.